This 82-nucleotide transfer RNA is filed under the name Finegoldia magna. RNAcentral describes it as "tRNA-OTHER". It matches the Rfam family "tRNA". From Rfam's summary of the family: Transfer RNA (tRNA) molecules are approximately 80 nucleotides in length. Their secondary structure includes four short double-helical elements and three loops (D, anti-codon, and T loops). Further hydrogen bonds mediate the characteristic L-shaped molecular structure. tRNAs have two regions of fundamental functional importance: the anti-codon, which is responsible for specific mRNA codon recognition, and the 3' end, to which the tRNAs corresponding amino acid is attached (by aminoacyl-tRNA synthetases). tRNAs cope with the degeneracy of the genetic code in two manners: having more than one tRNA (with a specific anti-codon) for a particular amino acid; and 'wobble' base-pairing, i.e. permitting non-standard base-pairing at the 3rd anti-codon position. Lineage: Bacteria; Bacillati; Bacillota; Tissierellia; Tissierellales; Peptoniphilaceae. The record is from RNAcentral.
GUCCCAGUAGCUCAACGGUAGAGUGGUGGCGUUUUUCUCCUUUCUUCGCCCGACCGAGCGGGUUCGACUCCCGUCUGGGGCC